CCCGUUGCUGGGGACGUCUAAGGCCCGGUUGGACUGGUACCCCGACGUCGUGCCUCCGUGCCGGCGAAGGGGGAAACCUCCGGUGUCCUGGCUGCCCUGCGACGGUCGUGCAGCAGAGGGGCCCCUGUGGCCCCCUCUCGCGGCGUGCAAAAGGUCGGUGACCCACCCGACCCGUCUUGAAACACGGACCAAGGAGUCUAACAUGUGUGCGAGUCAUUGGGCUCACUAAACCCAGAGGCGCAAUGAAAGUGAAAGGAGGGUGCUCCUCGGAGCGCUCUCCGGGGCCGAUCCCUGACCGAGUGAGACGUGGCCGUGGCCGACCCAUUCCAAAGCGGGGCUAAGGCGGCGCGCGGGGUGAGACCCUUUCCCCCGUUAGCGCCGCUGGCCUCGUGGGCGUCCGGCUCGCUCUCUGGUCCGGUGGGCAACACCGCCUGUACGCAGGGGGGCGCAGGCCCGGGACUUGCCACUCGACGCCGUCGCGCGAAUCUGUUGUUGGCCUCGCCGGCUCUGCUUGGGCUCUCGGUUGGCGUGCCGCGUGUCUUUGGGCGGGUCGUUGCGGGCGGGGCGGGCUCUCGCGGGCUCGUCCUUCCCCUCGGCUCGUCCGGCGCGGUUCCGCUCUCCGAUCCUGCUCUGUCCGGCGUGGCCUAGCGCGCGUGCUGUCGGCAAGUACCAUGAGCAGACAUGUUGGGACCCGAAAGAUGGUGAACUAUGCCUGGCCAGGAUGAAGCCAGAGGAAACUCUGGUGGAGGUCCGCAGCAAUUCUGACGUGCAAAUCGAUUGUCAGAGCUGGGUAUAGGGGCGAAAGACUAAUC
This 812-nucleotide ribosomal RNA is filed under the name Thalamita gatavakensis. Its description in RNAcentral is "eukaryotic LSU rRNA". It matches the Rfam family "Eukaryotic large subunit ribosomal RNA", at positions 586 to 936 of the family's 3401-position model. Lineage: Eukaryota; Metazoa; Arthropoda; Malacostraca; Decapoda; Portunidae. The record is from RNAcentral.